This 171-nucleotide ribosomal RNA is filed under the name Paraphaeosphaeria sp. ZZ-HJ-03. RNAcentral describes it as "5.8S ribosomal RNA". It matches the Rfam family "5.8S ribosomal RNA". Rfam says of the family: 5.8S ribosomal RNA (5.8S rRNA) is a component of the large subunit of the eukaryotic ribosome. It is transcribed by RNA polymerase I as part of the 45S precursor that also contains 18S and 28S rRNA. Lineage: Eukaryota; Fungi; Ascomycota; Dothideomycetes; Pleosporales; Didymosphaeriaceae. The record is from RNAcentral.
UACAAACAAUCGUUACAACUUUCAACAAUGGAUCUCUUGGCUCUGGCAUCGAUGAAGAACGCAGCGAAAUGCGAUAAGUAGUGUGAAUUGCAGAAUUCAGUGAAUCAUCGAAUCUUUGAACGCACAUUGCGCCCCUUGGUAUUCCAUGGGGCAUGCCUGUUCGAGCGUCAU